GGGGCAUUAGCGCAGUUGGUAGCGCACAACACUGGCAGUGUUGGGGUCAGCGGUUCGAAUCCGCUAUGCUCCA
Molecule: transfer RNA, 73 nt
Filed under: Clostridiales bacterium
Lineage: Bacteria; Bacillati; Bacillota; Clostridia; Eubacteriales
Also listed under: 3 other names
Description: tRNA-Ala
Rfam family: tRNA
About the family: Transfer RNA (tRNA) molecules are approximately 80 nucleotides in length. Their secondary structure includes four short double-helical elements and three loops (D, anti-codon, and T loops). Further hydrogen bonds mediate the characteristic L-shaped molecular structure. tRNAs have two regions of fundamental functional importance: the anti-codon, which is responsible for specific mRNA codon recognition, and the 3' end, to which the tRNAs corresponding amino acid is attached (by aminoacyl-tRNA synthetases). tRNAs cope with the degeneracy of the genetic code in two manners: having more than one tRNA (with a specific anti-codon) for a particular amino acid; and 'wobble' base-pairing, i.e. permitting non-standard base-pairing at the 3rd anti-codon position.
Source: RNAcentral